UUUGGUCGUUCGUUGGGCGGUGCUGGUUUUUCGCUCGUCGACUGCGGCUCUUCCUCGGGCAGCGGAAGCGGCGCGGCGGUCGGAGAAGUGGCCUAAAACUUCGGCGUUGGGUGAAAGAAAAUGGCCCGAACCAAGCAGACUGCUCGUAAGUCCACCGGUGGGAAAGCCCCCCGCAAACAGCUGGCCACGAAAGCCGCCAGGAAAAGCGCUCCCUCUACCGGCGGGGUGAAGAAGCCUCAUCGCUACAGGUAGGUCGGGCGGGGGAACAAUGGCCCGGCGGUGGCCGGCUUUGUGCGGCAGCGUCCGCUCACUCCUCCCCUGCUCGCUGCAGGCCCGGGACCGUGGCGCUUCGAGAGAUUCGUCGUUAUCAGAAGUCGACCGAGCUGCUCAUCCGGAAGCUGCCCUUCCAGAGGUUGGUGAGGGAGAUCGCGCAGGAUUUCAAAACCGACCUGAGGUUUCAGAGCGCAGCCAUCGGUGCGCUGCAGGUAAGACAAAGGCCUGGAGCCGGGGGAGGGCUGGGCGGUUUCCGCUCCCCGAGUGGGAUUAAUAGUGCGGCUCUCGUCCUCAACAGGAGGCUAGCGAAGCGUACCUGGUGGGUCUGUUCGAAGAUACCAACCUGUGUGCCAUCCACGCUAAGAGAGUCACCAUCAUGCCCAAAGACAUCCAGUUGGCUCGCCGGAUACGGGGAGAGAGAGCUUAAGUGAAGGCAGUUUUUAUGGCGUUUUGUAGUAAAUUCUGUAAAAUACUUUGGUUUAAUUUGUGACUUUUUUUGUAAGAAAUUGUUUAUAAUAUGUUGCAUUUGUACUUAAGUCAUUCCAUCUUUCACUCAGGAUGAAUGCGAA
This 842-nucleotide long non-coding RNA is filed under the name Homo sapiens (human). Its description in RNAcentral is "non-protein coding lnc-GALK1-2:8". The record is from RNAcentral. Lineage: Eukaryota; Metazoa; Chordata; Mammalia; Primates; Hominidae.